GACGAACGCUGGCGGCGUGCCUAAUACAUGCAAGUAGAACGCUGAAGGAGGAGCUUGCUUCUCCGGAUGAGUUGCGAACGGGUGAGUAACGCGUAGGUAACCUGCCUGGUAGCGGGGGACAACUAUUGGAAACGAUAGCUAAUACCGCAUAAGAGUAGAUGUUGCAUGACAUUUGCUUAAAAGGUGCAAUUGCAUCACUACCAGAUGGACCUGCGUUGUAUUAGCUAGUUGGUGGGGUAACGGCUUACCAAGGCGACGAUACAUAGCCGACCUGAGAGGGUGAUCGGCCACACUGGGACUGAGACACGGCCCAGACUCCUACGGGAGGCAGCAGUAGGGAAUCUUCGGCAAUGGACGGAAGUCUGACCGAGCAACGCCGCGUGAGUGAAGAAGGUUUUCGGAUCGUAAAGCUCUGUUGUAAGAGAAGAACGAGUGUGAGAGUGGAAAGUUCACACUGUGACGGUAUCUUACCAGAAAGGGACGGCUAACUACGUG
This 495-nucleotide ribosomal RNA is filed under the name uncultured bacterium. RNAcentral's name for it is "partial 16S ribosomal RNA". It matches the Rfam family "Bacterial small subunit ribosomal RNA", at positions 28 to 507 of the family's 1533-position model. The record is from RNAcentral.